GUUGAACGCUGGCGGCGUGCCUAAUACAUGCAAGUCGAGCGAACAAACGAGGAUCUUGCUCCUCUGACGUUAGCGGCGGACGGGUGAGUACCACGUGGAUAACCUACCUAUAAGACUGGGAUAACUUCAGGAAGCCGGAUCUAAUACAGGUUAAUAUAUUGAACCGCAUGGUUCAAUAGUGAAAGCCGGUUUUGCUGUCACUUAUUGAUGGAUCCGCGCCGCAUUAGCUAGUUGGUACGGUAACGGCUUACCAAGGCGACGAUGCGUAGCCGACCUGAGAGGGUGAUCGGCCACACUGGAACUGAGACACGGUCCAGACUCCUACGGGAGGCAGCAGUAGGGAAUCUUGCGCAAUGGGCGAAAGCCUGACGGAGCAACGCCGCGUGAGUGAUGAAGGUCUUCGGAUCGUAAAACUCUGUUAUUAGGGAAGAACAAAUGUGUAAGUAACUAUGCACGUCUUGACGGUACCUAAUGAGAAAGCCACGGCUAACUACGUG
Molecule: ribosomal RNA, 497 nt
Filed under: uncultured bacterium
Lineage: Bacteria
Description: partial 16S ribosomal RNA
Rfam family: Bacterial small subunit ribosomal RNA
Source: RNAcentral